GAGCCACAGAAAGGAGAACAGGUGAGGGUCAGGAAGAUAGAAAGGAGAGAGAGCAGCACUGGGAGAAGACAUGAGAAAUUAGAUCAGAAUCUAAAAGCACUCAGGAGAGCAGGGGAAAAGGCAGAAAUUAGAGCAGGAGCUAAGAGGAGAGCCAAAGAGGCAAUAAAAACUCAAGGAGGAGAAAGAAAAACUGCGAGAUGAAGAGAAGAGGAUGAGAAAAAAAAAGAUAGGAGAUAAAUACAAGGUGACAUAAAAGAGCCUCGACCUCCACUCUGUAAAGGUGAUGCGAUUUCAGGUGUGAAAGAAAAGAAAUACUUUGCAUUUUUUGAAACGGCCCUGACGAGAGGACUGAGCUACAUCUCAGAAAUCAAUACCACAUUUUAUGCCUGCUGCACCCUUCAUGAGGAACCAAGACAACACUGAUUCAAGACACCAGAAGAUCUAACUAAGUCAGAAUGUCUCAGUUACAGUCCAGAUUUCUA
This 482-nucleotide long non-coding RNA is filed under the name Gallus gallus (chicken). The record is from RNAcentral. Lineage: Eukaryota; Metazoa; Chordata; Aves; Galliformes; Phasianidae.